This 429-nucleotide ribosomal RNA is filed under the name uncultured archaeon. RNAcentral describes it as "bacterial SSU rRNA". It matches the Rfam family "Archaeal small subunit ribosomal RNA", at positions 474 to 903 of the family's 1478-position model. The record is from RNAcentral.
UACCAGCUCUUCGAGUGGUGUGGAUGUUUAUUGGGCCUAAAGCAUCCGUAGCUGGCUGGGCAAGUCCCCUGUUAAAUCCACCGAUUUAAUCGUUGGAGUGCGGGGGAUACUGUUCGGCUAGGGGACGGGAGAGGCAGACGGUAUUUUCGGGGUAGGGGUGAAAUCCUAUAAUCCCGGGAAGACCACCAGUGGCGAAGGCUGUCUGCUAGAACGCGCCCGACGGUGAGGGAUGAAAGCUGGGGGAGCGAACCGGAUUAGAUACCCGGGUAGUCCCAGCUGUAAACGAUGCAGGCUAGGUGUUUGGGCGGCCACGUGCCGCUCUAGUGCCGCAGGGAAGCCGUUAAGCCUGCCGCCUGGGGAGUACGGCCGCAAGGCUGAAACUUAAAGGAAUUGGCGGGGGAGCACCACAAGGGGUGAAGGCUGCGGUUU